GUGCUCACUUCAGCAGCACAUGUACUAAAAUUGGAACAACACAGAGAAGAUUAUCAUGGCCCUCGUAUGAGGAUGACAUGCAAAUUAGUGAAGUGUGUUUCAUAUAA
Molecule: small nuclear RNA, 107 nt
Filed under: Spermophilus dauricus (Daurian ground squirrel)
Lineage: Eukaryota; Metazoa; Chordata; Mammalia; Rodentia; Sciuridae
Source: RNAcentral